This is a long non-coding RNA of Oncorhynchus keta (chum salmon), 553 nucleotides long. RefSeq lists it as uncharacterized. NCBI's taxonomy places the organism in Eukaryota, Metazoa, Chordata, Actinopteri, Salmoniformes, Salmonidae. The record is from RefSeq and is a predicted model, not a curated record. The transcript is spliced from 5 exons.
GUCUGUCUGUAGGUGCCUGUCUGUCUGGGUGUCUGUCUGUCUGUAGGUGCCUGUCUGUCUGGGUGUCUGUCUGUCUGUAGGUGCCUGUCUGUCUGGGUGUCUGUCUGUCUGUCUGUGCCUGUCUGUCUGGGUGUCUGUCUGUCUGUAGGUGCCUGUCUGUCUGGGUGUCUGUCUGUCUGUAGGUGCCUGUCUGUCUGGGUGUCUGUCUGUCUGUAGGUGCCUGUCUGUCUGGGUGUCUGUCUGUCUGUAGGUGCCUGUCUGUCUGGGUGUCUGUCUGUCUGUAGGUGCCUGUCUGUCUGGGUGUCUGUCUGUCUGUAGGUGCCUGUCUGUCUGGGUGUCUGUCUGUCUGUAGGUGCCUGUCUGUCUGGGUGUCUGUCUGUCUGUAGGUGCCUGUCUGUCUGGGUGUCUGUCUGUCUGUAGGUGCCUGUCUGUCUGGGUGUCUGUCUGUCUGGGUGUCUGUCUGUCUGUCUGUAGGUGCCUGUCUGUCUGGGUGUCUGUAUGUCUGGGUGUCUGUAUGUCUGGGUGUCUGUAUGUCUGUCUGUAGGUGCCUGUC